GUAUUGAUUCGCGCGUGAUCGCGCAAAGAACAUUCUACACUAGGGUGUUUGAUGUUAAAAACGUGAGCACCCCGCCCUCCGAGGAAGGGGGGGACGCACGCGGUGAUGCACAAAGGGGUGAGAUGGAUAUUUGUAUGUGAGAGCACUCGGGCGUGCACGACGAAAAGUCAGCGACAACCCGGGUACCCCCAUUGUACGAUAAUGAUCCUUCCGCAGGUUCACCUACGGAAA
RNAcentral lists this unclassified non-coding RNA (231 nucleotides) under uncultured fungus. RNAcentral describes it as "sequence contains ITS1". The record is from RNAcentral. Lineage: Eukaryota; Fungi.